CCCUUAGAUGUUCUGGGCCGCACGCGCGCUACACUGUUCGACGCAGCGAGUCUUAACCUUGACCGAAAGGUUUGGGUAAUCUUCAGCAAAGUCGAACGUGAUGGGGAUCGAUCAUUGCAAUUAUUGAUCGUGAACGAGGAAUUCCUAGUAAGUCCAAGUCAUCAGCUUGCGCUGAUUACGUCCCUGCCCUUUGUACACACCGCCCGUCGCUACUACCGAUUGAAUGGUUUAGUGAGAUCUCUGGAUUGACGCUGGCUAGGGGGCGACCCUUGGCCAGACUGUUGAGAAACUGCUCAAACUUGAUCAUUUAGAGGAAGUAAAAGUCGUAACA
RNAcentral lists this ribosomal RNA (331 nucleotides) under uncultured eukaryote. RNAcentral's name for it is "partial 18S ribosomal RNA". It matches the Rfam family "Eukaryotic small subunit ribosomal RNA", at positions 1470 to 1796 of the family's 1831-position model. The record is from RNAcentral.